Molecule: long non-coding RNA, 445 nt
Organism: Ruditapes philippinarum (Manila clam)
Lineage: Eukaryota; Metazoa; Mollusca; Bivalvia; Venerida; Veneridae
Exons: 3
Source: RefSeq, a predicted model, not a curated record
UUUAAUCGUGUGUCCAGAUGGUACAUUGACAGUUUAGCAAGGAAAUUUUCAUUUUUUAAAGUGAAUUGUACGCCUGCGGAAUAAUUAUUUUGUAUUCAUAAAAGCUAGGGGAUUUAAGAGAUAAAAUGGAAGGAAAAUUCGUAAUGUUGAUUCUGAUAAUAGGAAUUUUGACAGUGUCGUCUGUUUACAAUUUCGGCGUUGAUGCAUAUACGUGUUUGCCAGAAGAUCCAGGUUGUGCCAACCAGGCGCCAUGUGUUGCGGUUACUCUGUGCGGAGGUUGCAAUCCGAACGAUAUUUGUUGCAAUGAGUAAAUCCUUGAAAAAGACCUUCUUUCAACAGACGAGCUGCAUAAACUUCUACUUUAAAUUUAGAGAAUCAACGAUUUGAAUUUUGAAAUUGACAUAUUUAUGAUGCGAUAAAAGAAUAUAUUAAACAGCUAAUUAUA